UAGUCCACGCUGUAAACGAUGUCUACUUGGAGGUUGUUGUCUUGAAUGAUGGCUUUCGGAGCUAACGCGUUAUGUAGACCGCCUGGGGAGUACGGCCGCAAGGUUAAAACUCAAAUGAAUUGACGGGGGCCCGCACAAGCGGUGGAGCAUGUGGUUUAAUUCGAUGCAACGCGAAGAACCUUACCUACUCUUGACAUCUACAGAAGCCAGCGGAGACGCAGGUGUGCCUUCGGGAACUGUAAGACAGGUGCUGCAUGGCUGUCGUCAGCUCGUGUCGUGAGAUGUUGGGUUAAGUCCCGUAACGAGCGCAACCCUUGUCCCUAUUUGCCAGCACUUCGGGUGGGAACUCUAGGGAGACUGCCGGUGACAAACCGGNGGAAGGUGGGGACGACGUCAAGUCAUCAUGGCCCUUACGACUUGGGCUACACACGUGCUACAAUGGUCGGUACAGAGGGCAGCAAACCCGCGAGGGGGANCGGAAUCCCACAAAACGUUUCGUAGUCCGGAUUGGAGU
Molecule: ribosomal RNA, 514 nt
Filed under: uncultured bacterium
Lineage: Bacteria
Description: bacterial SSU rRNA
Rfam family: Bacterial small subunit ribosomal RNA
Source: RNAcentral